Molecule: long non-coding RNA, 263 nt
Organism: Helicoverpa armigera (cotton bollworm)
Lineage: Eukaryota; Metazoa; Arthropoda; Insecta; Lepidoptera; Noctuidae
Exons: 3
Source: RefSeq, a predicted model, not a curated record
UGGACAAUGUAGUAACGAGUUUAUGGCUAAUUAAGAAAUCCUGGAGUUAUUGGAAUAAUGUGCGGUCUUAAAAUGAAUCGAAAUAAUGAAUUGGAAGGACAGUCUUGGAUCUUAUUAGGAGUGUUAAGUUGCCUACUUGGGGUUACUUUAUCAGGCAGCGUGUCUGGUUAUCAUACUCUAAUGCGAUACCGUCGAGAUCUGAGAGCCACAAAUCUUGGGUAGCCAUGGAGACAUCUUAUGGUAGCCAUCAAACCAGUGAAGUU